CCAGACUCCUACGGGAGGCAGCAGUGGGGGAUAUUGCACAAUGGGGGGAACCCUGAUGCAGCGACGCCGCGUGGGUGAAGGAGUAUUUCGGUAUGUAAAGCCCUAUCGGCAGGGAAGAAGCAAGACGGUACCUGACUAAGAAGCCCCGGCUAACUACGUGCCAGCAGCCGCGGUAAUACGUAGGGGGCGAGCGUUAUCCGGAUUCACUGGGUGUAAAGGGAGCGUAGACGGCGAUGCAAGUCUGAAGUGAAAGGCGGGGGCCCAACCCCCGGACUGCUUUGGAAACUGUAUGGCUGGAGUGCAGGAGAGGUAAGUGGAAUUCCUAGUGUAGCGGUGAAAUGCGUAGAUAUUAGGAGGAACACCAGUGGCGAAGGCGGCUUACUGGACUGUAACUGACGUUGAGGCUCGAAAGCGUGGGGAGCAAACAGGAUUAGAUACCCGUGUACG
RNAcentral lists this ribosomal RNA (447 nucleotides) under uncultured bacterium. RNAcentral's name for it is "partial 16S ribosomal RNA". It matches the Rfam family "Bacterial small subunit ribosomal RNA", at positions 331 to 793 of the family's 1533-position model. The record is from RNAcentral.